CCUACGGGAGGCAGCAGUGGGGAAUAUUGGACAAUGGGGGGAACCCUGAUCCAGUGACGCCGCGUGAGUGAAGAAGUAUUUCGGUAUGUAAAGCUCUAUCAGCAGGGAAGCAAAUGCCGGUACCUGACUAAGACGCCCCGGCUAACUACGUGCCAGCAGCCGCGGUAAUACGGAGGGGGCAAGCGUUAUCCGGAUUUACUGGGGGUAAAGGGAGCGUAGACGGUGCAGCAAGUCUGAUGUGAAAGGUCGGGGCCCAACCCCGGGACUGCAUUGGAAACUGGUGGACUGGAGUACAGGAGAGGUAAGCGGAAUGCGCAGUGUAGCGGUGAAAUGCGUAGAUAUUAGGAGGAACACCAGUUGCGAAGGCAGCAUACUGGACUGUAACUGACGUUGAGGCUCGAAAGCGUGGGUAGCGAACAGGAUUAGAUACCCGUGUAGUC
Molecule: ribosomal RNA, 440 nt
Filed under: uncultured bacterium
Lineage: Bacteria
Description: partial 16S ribosomal RNA
Rfam family: Bacterial small subunit ribosomal RNA
Source: RNAcentral